RNAcentral lists this non-coding RNA (26 nucleotides) under Rattus norvegicus (Norway rat). Lineage: Eukaryota; Metazoa; Chordata; Mammalia; Rodentia; Muridae. The record is from RNAcentral.
CUAUGGUACCGGAAGGGUGCGCUGUU